UCGCAUCUCUUAACAUCACGCAAUCAAUCAACGGUUGAAUCCUCUAGACCCCUAGUUCCAGUUUACAGUGAAUGAACUAACUAACAAUCAAGACUCAAUUCAAACAGACGGAUCAUGAUUCGAAAUCUAAACUACGAUAGAGAGAAUUCUACACUGGUACGAGAUUUACGAAAUAGACCCUCACCUUUGCCAGGGGUUCUGAAGAAACCUGAGGAAACGCCGAAUGCACCUUGACGGCUCUAACAAAGCAACUCCGGAACUCUCUGAAAUUAGAUCAAUAAGCUAUUCUGGCAGAACUCAACCAUAGAGCAAACAGAUGAAUAACUCAAGAACUGACCGUUAACUUUUCGAUCCCUCCGGUCAUAAUAUAGUCCUAUAUGUCCUCUAUCCAUAGACACUAAGUUUACUCUGAUCUAACACCAUUUGCUUAACCAAAGUAGCUUCAUUUCCAGGCUGGUCGUAAACGCAAACUGCACCAACACCUC
This 485-nucleotide long non-coding RNA is filed under the name Brassica napus (rape). Its description in RNAcentral is "long non-coding RNA (BNAP_LNC011597)". Lineage: Eukaryota; Viridiplantae; Streptophyta; Magnoliopsida; Brassicales; Brassicaceae. The record is from RNAcentral.